GCUAUCUGAACACCAGAUACCAAAGCACCAGCAAGGACACCAGAAAGUGUCUCCACUCCAAAGAAAAUACCAACUAUGAGGGGCGUGAGCAUGACAAGGGCACCUGGUGGAAUCAUUUCCUUGAUAGAUGCAUCAGUCGAAAUCUUAACACAAGUGGCAUAAUCAGGUUUAGCAUGACCUUCCAUGAGACCAGGAAUAGUGUUAAAUUGUCUGCGCACUUCCUCAACCAUCUUCAAAGC
RNAcentral lists this unclassified non-coding RNA (239 nucleotides) under Hevea brasiliensis (rubber tree). The record is from RNAcentral. Lineage: Eukaryota; Viridiplantae; Streptophyta; Magnoliopsida; Malpighiales; Euphorbiaceae.